RNAcentral lists this long non-coding RNA (201 nucleotides) under Populus tremula. RNAcentral describes it as "long non-coding RNA (PTRE_LNC003443)". Lineage: Eukaryota; Viridiplantae; Streptophyta; Magnoliopsida; Malpighiales; Salicaceae. The record is from RNAcentral.
UCGAGUGUUGUCGAGAGCAGGACUAAUUAUGAUCUAGAUAAUCAUGUGAGAGUCAUUUAUAGAGUUGCCAUGGAGUCCUCUGUUACAUGGGAAGUACGUGCAUGUUCUGUUCUGCCGGCAAUGAAUCUCAAGAUCUCUCUGUGUGCUGCACAUGACGACAUACCGCUUAGGAAUUUUGCCUCCUGUAAUUGACUUGACUCG